RNAcentral lists this ribosomal RNA (253 nucleotides) under uncultured bacterium. Its description in RNAcentral is "partial 16S ribosomal RNA". It matches the Rfam family "Bacterial small subunit ribosomal RNA", at positions 524 to 776 of the family's 1533-position model. The record is from RNAcentral.
UACGUAGGGGGCAAGCGUUGUCCGGAAUCAUUGGGCGUAAAGAGCGUGUAGGCGGCCAGAUAAGUCCGCUGUGAAAUCUCGAGGCUCAACUUCGAGCUGUCGGUGGAAACUGUCUGGCUAGAGUCCGGAAGAGGAGAUUGGAAUUCCUGGUGUAGCGGUGAAAUGCGCAGAUAUCAGGAAGAACACCCGUGGCGAAGGCGGUUCUCUGGGACGGUACUGACGCUGAGACGCGAAAGCGUGGGGAGCGAACAGG